This 195-nucleotide ribosomal RNA is filed under the name uncultured bacterium. RNAcentral's name for it is "partial 16S ribosomal RNA". It matches the Rfam family "Bacterial small subunit ribosomal RNA", at positions 338 to 524 of the family's 1533-position model. The record is from RNAcentral.
CCUACGGGAGGCAGCAGUGGGGAAUUGUUCGCAAUGGGCGCAGGCCUGACGACGCAACGCCGCGUGGAGGAUGAAGAUCUUCGGGUCGUAAACUCCUUUCGAUCGAGACGAACGGCCUCCGGGUAAACAAUCCGGAGGAGUGACGGUACCGAGAGAAGAAGCCCCGGCUAACUCCGUGCCAGCAGCCGCGGUAAU